UGCCAUAUCUUCCUGUGUCUCUUCGUCUGUGCAUCACGCUACUUGUCGUUUCGUUCCAAAUGCAGUGUGUGUUUGCCAAGUGCUUGUGAUUCAGGUUACUUUUAUGUGUUAUGCUUCAGCUACAAGGGACGACCGUUGCCGUGCCAAUGGUGUUUUCAGGUGUUCAUACCACCACAGAUCCAAUACGGAAGUCACAGUUACCAACAAAAAGUGCAAGAGCAGAGCCUGCAUGGUAUCCAUCUAUGAGGAAAUCAUGCAGUACCGCCAAAGAAGUUGACAUGUUAUUAGAAGAUAGCACACAAUGCGUUCCUAGCCUCGCAUCAUCGAACAAACCUCAAGAGUUUGAUCAUACCAAAUAAUGACGCCCGUCAAGAGUCGACCGAGUUUAAGUGAUAAUUAUACAGGUCGUGAUGAUACAACUGUGACACGGUAACAGAGCUUCGUAGGUCCUACCAGUUUAUCUCUCCCUGUACGGUCUCGCAAAGCCAAUGAUUGAAUUUCUCUUUCCGUGACCUCGAGUGGUGAUCCUCAUGAUGUACCAACCAACUCUAGCGAUUUCCAUGCAGUCGGUGAGCCCGACAGAAGGAUCGUAAGUUUCAAAACGAUGCCCAACUAUUACAGUUACAAGGAUUUCAUCUCAACUGAGUUCGUAGUAACGAGAGUUGACUGUGUUUUGGAGUGCUAAGACUCAUAACAAUCUUCGAGAUUCUUCAACCGGACAGAACGGGGCGGCUUGUGAAGUGGAGAG
This is a long non-coding RNA of Acanthaster planci (crown-of-thorns starfish), 748 nucleotides long. The record is from RefSeq and is a predicted model, not a curated record. Lineage: Eukaryota; Metazoa; Echinodermata; Asteroidea; Valvatida; Acanthasteridae.